CGACAAAUCACUCACCGUUACCCCUUCCCCACCACGGGCGCUCUUGGGGAGAGGGGUGACUUGGAGAGGACGCCACUGUACCCUAAGGUGCCGUGCAUGCAUUAAGUCACUGACUCCUCCCAACAGCCCUACGGGCAGGUCCUCUUCAAGGAGUGAAGCACAAUAAAACGAGAUCUGCCUGUAUUAACUACUAUUUCGGAAUGUCCUAUAAAUGGAACCAUACAGACUUUUGAGACUGGCUCCUUUCACUUGGCAGAAUGCACUUGGGAUUCAUUCUUCUGCUGCUGCACGCAUCUGUCACGUGUCCCUUUCAUGGGCUUUUGAAACUGCUGGUCCUCGAGUCAUGUUGUGGAAUCAUCGAAAACCUCACCUGCAAGGGAUCAUGGACCUCAAGACCCUCAUUCUUUAGGUCAGAGAAGUAACCCUCCUGCUUAACGACAUGACCGGAGCCAUUAGUGAAGGAACCGGGAAUAUAACUCUGCAAACUGGACUCCCAACCCUCUCCCAUUAAGCCAGCCUAUAUCAAUUUCUUGGAUUUUCUUUCAUUUGCGUUUUUGUUAUGGGAAAACUUAAACACACACAAAAGUAGAGCGAGUAAUAUAAGGAAUACCAAUGUACCCAUCACUCCAUUGCCACACCCAUCCGCGUUCUGACAGUCUUGUUUUAUCUCUUCCCCCACCUGGCCCCUUUGCAGCCAUACAGACUUCACACCAUUUUAUCUGUUACUACGGUAAUAUGUUUCUCUAACAGAAAGCUUUUAAAAAGAAUGUAACCACAGUACCAUUAUCCCACUCACAUAAUUAACAAUGUUUCUUAGUAUCAUAAUACAUAGCCCAUACUCAAUUUUCUCCAAUUGUGUGGAAAAAGUCUUUUUGUAGCUUGUUUACAUCAGCAUUUCAAGCAAGAUCCACACGUUGCAUUUGUUGAUUUUCUUUUUUUAAAAGGGCUUUUAAAUGAUAAGAGUCCCUCCUCCCAUUCAUCUCCCAUGCCAUAUGUUUGUGGGAAAAUCUGGGUCAUCUGUCCUUUAGAAUUUCCCAUAUUCUGGAUUUAGCUGAUUGUGUCCUGCUGGUAUCUUUUAACAUUUCUGCAUCCCAUUUCCUGUAAAUUGAUACUUAGCUGUAGAGCAGUGGUUUACAGCUGGGGAAAUUCAUGCCCCGCUCCCACCCCCACCCAGUCCCUCUCAGGGCUUGAUCAUAUGUGGCGACUUUUUCUUUUUUAAAUUCUUACGAGAGAGAAACAUUGAUGUUAGAAACAUCAGCUGAUUGCACCCCGUGCCCCCACCUCUGGGAACCCGUGCUCUCUCUGACCAAGGAUCGAACCCGUAAUGUUCUGGGGCACCAGGUGAUGCUCCAACCAACCGCGCCGCCUGGCCAGGCUUCGAGACAUUUUUAAUGGCCACAACUAGGUGACCAUUAAAACUUAAAAUUUAAAGCGUUACAUAAUUCUCCUAGACUUGUUGAUCUAGCAGUUCCCUUGUUCCUCCCAUUUUUUGUUCUUAAGAGGCAACCAUUUUCAGCUUUUCAGCUGGUUCUUUUAAUAUUUAUCUUUGUAUAUCCUAACAAUGGGCUUAAAUUGCUACUUUUCAGCAAUUAAGUUUUGGGCAUUUUCUAAUGACUUCUCUUUCCAGAAUGUGACAAUCUCUCUAUUUUUCCAAUAAUGGCCCCCAGCCCCCUGCUCAAACACUUUUUCUAUCCCUUUAUGUUCUCAGAAUAAAUGCUAAUUUUCGUUGUCUGCUCAUGUUUAAGAGUAGGACAUUAAAAAGCCCUUUAGAAGCUCUGACCUCGCCGGCAGGGCUUGCUGACUGCAGCGUCCCUGCGGGGUUCCAUCUGGCUACGCUCUUCCUUUAGGGACCCCCCAGCGUCCGAGUGUUUAAGUCUUCCUCCUCAGUCGGAUAAAACUGCAGCGGAGUUUUCCAGUGUUAUGCCUGGAGGGUUAGGGGUCCGGGAGCCCAGUGGGGCUGGAAGGCUUUGAGUCUGAGCAUUGAGUAUGUGGACUUUCCUUUUUUGUUAUAAUUCUCCUGGCGUCAACUGUGCCUGCUCUCCUCCAGCCACAGACCCUCUGUGGCUCCCUCCAGAGAAUAAGCCCAUCUCAUGGCAGGAAUAUGAGAGGACAGUUGCCCAGUUGUACAGAGUUGGGAAAGGAACCUAUGGAUCUAACCGUUAUUUUUGAAACAGCUUUCGUUAGGUACAAUUGACAUAAAAUAAGCAGCCUGUUUACAAUGUCCAAUUGGUAAGUUUUGACGGAUGUACAUAUCUGCAACAUCAGCACCAGCACAGGCAAGAGAGUG
Artibeus jamaicensis (Jamaican fruit-eating bat) is the source of this 2287-nucleotide long non-coding RNA. RefSeq lists it as uncharacterized. The transcript is spliced from 4 exons. The record is from RefSeq and is a predicted model, not a curated record. Lineage: Eukaryota; Metazoa; Chordata; Mammalia; Chiroptera; Phyllostomidae.